Molecule: ribosomal RNA, 879 nt
Filed under: uncultured bacterium
Lineage: Bacteria
Description: bacterial SSU rRNA
Rfam family: Bacterial small subunit ribosomal RNA
Source: RNAcentral
GGUUUUCGGACCUAGAGACCGGCGCACGGGUGCGUAACGCGUAUGCAAUCUACCUUUUACAGAGGGAUAGCCCAGAGAAAUUUGGAUUAAUACCUCAUAGUAUUAUGACUCGGCAUCGAGAUAUAAUUAAAGUCACAACGGUAAAAGAUGAGCAUGCGUCCCAUUAGCUUGUUGGUAAGGUAACGGCUUACCAAGGCAACGAUGGGUAGGGGUCCUGAGAGGGAGAUCCCCCACACUGGUACUGAGACACGGACCAGACUCCUACGGGAGGCAGCAGUGAGGAAUAUUGGUCAAUGGGCGCAAGCCUGAACCAGCCAUGCCGCGUGCAGGAUGACGGUCCUAUGGAUUGUAAACUGCUUUUGUACAGGAAGAAACAGUUCUACGUGUAGAACCUUGACGGUACUGUAAGAAUAAGGAUCGGCUAACUCCGUGCCAGCAGCCGCGGUAAUACGGAGGAUCCAAGCGUUAUCCGGAAUCAUUGGGUUUAAAGGGUCCGUAGGCGGUUUUGUAAGUCAGUGGUGAAAGCCCAUCGCUCAACGGUGGAACGGCCAUUGAUACUGCAAGACUUGAAUUAUUGGGAAGUAACUAGAAUAUGUAGUGUAGCGGUGAAAUGCUUAGAGAUUACAUGGAAUACCAAUUGCGAAGGCAGGUUACUACCAAUAUAUUGACGCUGAUGGACGAAAGCGUGGGGAGCGAACAGGAUUAGAUACCCUGGUAGUCCACGCCGUAAACGAUGGAUACUAGCUGUUCGGAGCAAUCUGAGUGGCUAAGCGAAAGUGAUAAGUAUCCCACCUGGGGAGUACGUUCGCAAGAAUGAAACUCAAAGGAAUUGACGGGGGCCCGCACAAGCGGUGGAGCAUGUGGUUUAAUUCGAUGAUA